This 2550-nucleotide long non-coding RNA is filed under the name Homo sapiens (human). RNAcentral's name for it is "non-protein coding NR2F1-AS1:47". Lineage: Eukaryota; Metazoa; Chordata; Mammalia; Primates; Hominidae. The record is from RNAcentral.
AGUAUUGGCACUGGUUGCGGUGGUGCUGGUCGAUGGGACAGUUCCUGUUGGCACGGCAUGUCAGGUAGAUGAAACUCAAGAGAAAAGGUGUGGAUAAAUGAAACUAGCCCAUGAUGAACCUGUUUUCUCCGUGACCACAAUAUUAACCAGGAUGAAUGGCGGUGGCAGUGGGCCUGCAUCACAGGUUGCAGCAGAUGUUCUCAAUAUUUCUAUUAAAAUUUCCUUAUUUCCAUAUGCAAGAGGAGCCCCAGAGCUGCAUCCUUAUGGUAGCUACCAUGCCGUGAUGUAAGCUGCCAUUCACUGGGGAGCUUUGGCAAUAGAAUUGGCUAGAUCAGGAAGCCUAUGUCAACUAUGGAACAACAACUUGCAGCUCAUCUCUAUUGAUGAUGGAAUCUCGCUAUGUCACCAGGCUGGAGUGCAGUGGCGCAACCUCGGCUCAGCGCAACAUCCGCCUCCCGGGUUCAAGUGAUUCUCCUACCUCAGCCUCCUGAGUAGCUGGGAUUACAGGAAUCUAAUGACCAUUGAACUGUGGCCAUGACUUCAAUUACAAGUAUUUUCUUCACUAAUGUCAGACUGUGGGCCUUUGUAUAUACACUUUUAACAAACUUUUUGGAAGUGCAAUACAUAUCGCAACAACUUCUCAAUGCUGAAUCAUAGUAUUGGAAGACAUUUUAAGCAACAAUUAAACUCAACUUAUUUACUACCAAUAAUGUACAUAAGUCAGCUGAAGUGAGGAUAACAUGAAUAGCACAAAUACAUUAUGAUUGCUGCCUGGCCAACAGUAAUUAUAAGAAACUGUCAGUUUUGAGAUGUGUCUUGAUUUCAGAGAUGUUAAAAAAGUUUGUAAGUUACCAUUGAUAAAAUAUGAGUUUGCUUCCACAAAUAUUCUUUCUUCUGUCCUUCUGGAACUCAAGAGUAAACAUAUAUUAGAUUUUCUCACCAUUUCAUGCAUGCUGGUUCCUAGGCUACUCUCUGAGUCAUUUUUUUUUUCUUAUCUGCCCUCCAGUUCACUAGUUCUGUCAUUUUCUGGGUCUGAUCUGCUGCAAAUGCAAUACAUUGAGUUUUAAAUUUCAGUCAUUGUGUUUUCAUUUCUAGAAAUUUCAUUUGACUCUUUCUCAAAUUACUUUUCCAUUUUUUUUGUAGUUUCCUAUCCCUGGAGAUAUUUUCAAUCAUGCCAUUUAAUUUUUUAAAUACGCAAGUGUAGUUUUAUAAUUUGUGUCUGAUAAUUCUAAUAUCUGAAGUCUUAGUAGGUCUGUUUCAGUUGUCCUGUAAUUAUGCAUGUUUUUGCCCAUGUUGCUUUGUUUCCUUGUAUGCUUGGUUAUCUUUCUUACUGCCCUUGCAAAAUUAUUUGGAGAGUCCUGGAGGCUUAAAUGAAGAUAACUUUUAGGAAUAAUUUGCAUUUGCUUUUGCCGAGGAUCUUGGGAUCAUUUCAACCAAAAUCUUAGCUUGAAAUUCCGCAAUCAAUCAAGGUGAUGAGAACCUGGUCAGUAAAUCCUAAUGAGGGCCAGGCUGUGGCCAAAGAUUUUUAGACAGAUGUUUCCCUCCUUUGCCAUUUCUCUUUUCUUUCCUCCUCUGCUCCUCUUAGUGUCCAGACAACCUUCAUGGAAGUCCUUGGGGUGGGUGGGAAAUGAGGACGGCAGGUUUCAUUCUAGGUAUAGCCCUUUGAGGUCUAACUUAAUGCAGAGAGAGUUUUCUGGUCUAUGUGCCACCUUACAUGGGAUCUUGAGCCUUGAUUUCUAAACCCCUUGCCUUUGAUGUUUCAGAAUUGAAGCUUAAAUUUGCCAACAGGCAAAUGUCCUCAAGGCAAAUUGGCUUAGGUGUUCGAUAUUCUUCUUACCAGAAAGGUAAACUUGGGUUUUUUACUUCACCCAGGAUUUGGCAUGACAGUUCCCCAUUAUCUUGUCAGCUUAGUGCUUUAAGUGAUUGCAUUUAAAAAAAUUCUGCAUUUUCAGUUUUUAGCAGGAGGAAUGGCCUCAACUAGUGGUUUUCAACUGGGGAUGAUUUUUUUCCCCUAGGGGACAUUUGAUAAUGUUUGGAGAUGUUUUAGUUGUUAGAACUGGGGUUGGGGGAACUACUGUCAUCUGGUGGGGAGAGACCGGCAAUGCUGUUGAUCUUACUAUAAUGCACAGGCCACCCCCAACAACAAACAAAUUACAUAGCCCCAAAUAUCAAUAAUGCCAAGGUCCAAAUAACCUAACCUUCCAUUACUGAAAAUAGAAGUUCAAGAAGAUAGUUUAUAAUUUAAAAAUUUUUAGGUCUUAAUAAGUUGUCAUACUUUCACAGGUUUUAUUUCAUACUAAGUAAUUUAUUUCAAAUUUUACAUUCCAAUUACAGAAAAUUUUCUAAGCCAGUUUUUGUUCUUCAUGAGUAUUACUAUCAAGGUCACAUUUUUCAUCUAGUAUGUUUUACCCUGGUACUUGUUGGCAGGGUCAGGACUAAGGUGAGAUGCGCAAGGCAUUUGCCUCACACAAAAUGCACAAUGAAUAAAAUGUCAAAACUUUAAAUAAAGACAGAAUCACUAAAAGUACUUUGCCAUAUUGGAACCUGAGG